RNAcentral lists this ribosomal RNA (253 nucleotides) under uncultured bacterium. RNAcentral describes it as "partial 16S ribosomal RNA". It matches the Rfam family "Bacterial small subunit ribosomal RNA", at positions 524 to 776 of the family's 1533-position model. The record is from RNAcentral.
UACGAAGGGGGCUAGCGUUGUUCGGAAUUACUGGGCGUAAAGCGUGCGCAGGCGGCCUUCCAAGUCAGGGGUGAAAGCCCAGAGCUCAACUCUGGAAUUGCCUUUGAGACUGUGAGGCUUGAGUACGGGAGAGGUGGGUGGAAUUCCCAGUGUAGAGGUGAAAUUCGUAGAUAUUGGGAAGAACACCGGUGGCGAAGGCGGCUCACUGGCCCGAAACUGACGCUCAUGCACGACAGCGUGGGGAUCAAACAGG